UUCUCUCUCUUCAUCUUUAUAUGUCUCUCUGUCCACAGUAUCAAUCAUUUCUGCCUAAAGCUUUCUUCUCGAUACUUCUCCUUUUAUCUGGAAACCGCGAUUACGCAUCGAGAUCUACGUAUCGCCAUCGCCAUCGCCAACAGCAGCUGAUUCUCUUUUCCUUUCUUUUUCGCAGCUUCAAAGCCGAUUAUGCAAGGGUAUGAGGUUUUUGAAGCCAAAGUCUACUGUUCCAGAAUCUAUCAGUUCUAGGUAUUGUUCCUUCCUUGAUUCCAAGCUAGCAUAUAAUUAUUGAAGCUAUGUUGACUGUUUCCACUAUACAUAAGUGAAGUGAUAUGCUGAUUUGGAAAUGAGGUCGAUACCACCUGACACUCGGUCUUAGUGACACAAGCUAGAAGAAAGGACCCCAUAUACUUCAUGUCAUGAAAAGCAUCCAUACGUUGCAGAGUGUAUAAUUAAGAAAUGAAAUUCAUGAUUUUGGAGGUCUCUGAUGUUCAUUCCAGCAAGUUCCUCUCCCAAAAACUUCCUGCAACCACAACAGAAGUGGCAACUCAUUCAGAUGAAAGAAGAGAGGAAACCACUGUUUCAUGUGGAUCAUGGUGAAUUGUGAUGUCUGCAGCUAGGAACGGUCUUUCAAUGGUGUAGGGGGAAGAAGUAGAAGCCUAGACACUCAAUAUGGUAAAGCUUCUUCUGGAUGGGGGUAGUAACAUCUGAAGAGGUUCAUUCAUUAAUCAUGAGAAUGUGCUUCUAAUGCUUGAAUAGGGCAAUAACUGCAGGUAAGCAGGUGUGUUGAUUGUAAGUCUGUAGAAGGCGAAACUGAUGACUAGCUUCGGUGAUGCAGUUUCAGAUUCUCAGUAUAUCUAAUUACUGCCAGGUUUCAGACUUUCAGGUCAGAUUCUCAUAAUAUGAUUUCCUUCCUCGAACUCGAGAUCACCAUGUUUGCUUAAUAUGAAUGACCUAGCUCUUUAGAAGCAGCCACAUUCAGAAAUAGCACACUUAAUUAUAAUAUCUCCCACUCUAAAUUAUAAUAUAUCUACCACUUUAGAUUGGCCAUGUAGUAGUGGAGUUUGAUCUGUAAACCUCUUUCUAUUACAAAUAAGUUCUUAACUCAAGGCGAGCUAAAUGUGAGAGCACACUUAAUGUAAGGAGUAGCAACCUAUUCAGUGUUCUAAAAGCAUGUUAAACAUUUACACUAAAAUAUGGCAUAUGAACUUUAAACAUAAUGCACCCUUUGAUCUAUAGAAUUUAGCAUCCUAAAUCCUAAUCAACAAACUAAGUAGAACUGUAGAACUAUGUAAUAGCUACAUCUGAAUUAUUGAUCAAAACUUCUCACAUGUAUGUAGCCAGUUGAAAGAGUGCAUAAAGUUGAUAAAAUAUAAACAAAAUCACAUAUGUUAGUCUUGUUUGAUGGUUAGGGUCCAUAUAAUAUUAUCUGAGUCUACAUCUAGUAGCAUUUUUGUUGUUUUGAUGGUCUUGCUUGUGUUUGAAUUCAAAUUGAGAUGUGAUGGCACACCGUCAGCAUUUUACAUGUAUGUGCUAACUCUGCAUUGCAUUUGCCGUGGAGCAUUUGUAGAAUUUAAACUUCAUGAUUUGUUAUUCAAAUUUUGAACGAUGAUAUUGGGUAGACUAUAAUUUUGUGAUUUUAAAAAUGAUUAGCCCAAAAUAUUAACAAACUGAUGUGUUUUUUAGUUAGCUUAUUAUGAGCUUUUCUGAAUCUGAAAAUACAAAAAUACAGGUAUGCACACAUACACAAAUUUAAGUAUAGUACUAGAAUACUACUACGUUUUAUAGUCUAAUUCUAAUGAUGUUAUGUGAGCUAAGAAGUACAAUAACAAAUUUGAGAUACAAGUCCCCUGCAAGUGUGUUGACGAAAAACUUAGUUUACUGGUAAGAUGUGUUUCUCCUUCAAUUAAUUAAUGAGAUUUGAGUAACGAUGAUAAAUGGAUUAUUAUUAUUAUUAUUAUUAUUAUUAUUAUUAUUAUUAUUCCUUUUA
This is a long non-coding RNA of Salvia splendens (bonfire salvia), 1990 nucleotides long. RefSeq lists it as uncharacterized. The transcript has 7 exons. The record is from RefSeq and is a predicted model, not a curated record. Lineage: Eukaryota; Viridiplantae; Streptophyta; Magnoliopsida; Lamiales; Lamiaceae.